GUAGUCCACGCCCUAAACGAUGCGCACUAGAUCGUUGCAGGUUUGACCCUGCAAUGGUCGUAGAGAAAUUGAUAAGUGCGCCGCCUGGGGAGUACGGUCGCAAGGCUAAAACUCAAAGAAAUUGACGGGGGCUCACACAAGCGGUGGAGCAUGUUGCUUAAUUCGAAGCAACGCGAAGAACCUUACCCGGGUUUGACAUGCACGGAUUAGUUCCUGGAAACAGGGAUGAGGCUCGCAAGAGUACAACGUGCACAGGUGCUGCAUGGCUGUCGUCAGCUCGUGCUGUGAAGUGUCGGGUUAAGUCCCUUAACGAGCGCAACCCUUGUCGCUAGUUGCUAACGCGUAAUGGCGAGGACUCUAGCGAGACUGCCGGUGUCAAACCGGA
RNAcentral lists this ribosomal RNA (385 nucleotides) under uncultured bacterium. RNAcentral describes it as "bacterial SSU rRNA". It matches the Rfam family "Bacterial small subunit ribosomal RNA", at positions 790 to 1167 of the family's 1533-position model. The record is from RNAcentral.